Molecule: ribosomal RNA, 446 nt
Filed under: Microbacterium sp. Zn10
Lineage: Bacteria; Bacillati; Actinomycetota; Actinomycetes; Micrococcales; Microbacteriaceae
Description: bacterial SSU rRNA
Rfam family: Bacterial small subunit ribosomal RNA
Source: RNAcentral
CACGUGAGCAACCUGCCCCUGACUCUGGGAUAAGCGCUGGAAACGGCGUCUAAUACUGGAUAUGUGACGUGACCGCAUGGUCUGCGUCUGGAAAGAAUUUCGGUUGGGGAUGGGCUCGCGGCCUAUCAGCUUGUUGGUGAGGUAAUGGCUCACCAAGGCGUCGACGGGUAGCCGGCCUGAGAGGGUGACCGGCCACACUGGGACUGAGACACGGCCCAGACUCCUACGGGAGGCAGCAGUGGGGAAUAUUGCACAAUGGGCGCAAGCCUGAUGCAGCAACGCCGCGUGAGGGACGACGGCCUUCGGGUUGUAAACCUCUUUUAGCAGGGAAGAAGCGAAAGUGACGGUACCUGCAGAAAAAGCGCCGGCUAACUACGUGCCAGCAGCCGCGGUAAUACGUAGGGCGCAAGCGUUAUCCGGAAUUAUUGGGCGUAAAGAGCUCGUAG